CACGGGUGCGUAACACGUGGGUAACCUGCCCUUUGGUGGGGAAUAACCUCGCGAAAGCGAGGCUAAUUCCGCAUAAGAUCCGCAAGGAUGAAAGCCGCAAGGCGCCGAAGGAGGGGCCCGCGCACGAUUAGUUAGUUGGUAGGGUAACGGCCUACCAAGACUAUGAUCGUUAGCUGGUCUGAGAGGAUGGCCAGCCACACUGGAACUGAGACACGGUCCAGACUCCUACGGGAGGCAGCAGUGGGGAAUCUUGCGCAAUGGGCGAAAGCCUGACGCACCGACGCCGCGUGGGGGAUGAAGCUUCUCGGAGUGUAAACCCCUUUCGACUGGGACGAAUACC
Molecule: ribosomal RNA, 340 nt
Filed under: uncultured bacterium
Lineage: Bacteria
Description: bacterial SSU rRNA
Rfam family: Bacterial small subunit ribosomal RNA
Source: RNAcentral